Molecule: unclassified non-coding RNA, 377 nt
Filed under: uncultured fungus
Lineage: Eukaryota; Fungi
Description: partial contains 5.8S ribosomal RNA and internal transcribed spacer 2
Rfam family: 5.8S ribosomal RNA (bases 1-134)
Source: RNAcentral
UGGCUCUCGCAUCGAUGAAGAACGCAGCGAAACGCGAAAUGUAAUGUGAAUUGCAGAAUCUCAGUGAAUCAUCGAAUCUUUGAACGCAUCUUGCGCCCGAUGGUAUUCCGUCGGGCAUGCCUGUCUGAGUGUCCUUAACUCUCAAACACGACCUCGUUUUGUAAUGAGUGCUUGUGGUUUGGAUCCUGGAUUACGGUUGUGGUUUACAACCGGUCGAAAAUAGAGUCGGCCCGAUUACGAAUUUGUAUUCGACGGUUUGACCGAGUGUUGUAACCUCCUCACUUGGGACGUCAGCAAUUUGUAAGGCCUCUAAUGAGUCACGUACACUCCCGAGUGUAAUGUCUUCAGACCUCAGAUCAGGUAGGAUUACCCGCUGA